UACGUAGGGUGCAAGCGUUAAUCGGAAUUACUGGGCGUAAAGCGUGCGCAGGCGGCUUUUUAAGUCGGAUGUGAAAUCCCUGAGCUUAACUUAGGAAUUGCAUUCGAUACUGGGAAGCUAGAGUAUGGGAGAGGAUGGUAGAAUUCCAGGUGUAGCGGUGAAAUGCGUAGAGAUCUGGAGGAAUACCGAUGGCGAAGGCAGCCAUCUGGCCUAAUACUGACGCUGAGGUACGAAAGCAUGGGGAGCAAACAGG
Molecule: ribosomal RNA, 253 nt
Filed under: uncultured Acinetobacter sp.
Lineage: Bacteria; Pseudomonadati; Pseudomonadota; Gammaproteobacteria; Moraxellales; Moraxellaceae
Description: partial 16S ribosomal RNA
Rfam family: Bacterial small subunit ribosomal RNA
Source: RNAcentral